Molecule: long non-coding RNA, 2359 nt
Organism: Oryzias melastigma (Indian medaka)
Lineage: Eukaryota; Metazoa; Chordata; Actinopteri; Beloniformes; Adrianichthyidae
Exons: 2
Source: RefSeq, a predicted model, not a curated record
UCAAUAUCAGGGAACAAUAAAAUCUGAAAUGAUCAACAAUCGUUAUUGUUAGGAGGAUAAACUCGACAAGGGUUUGGCUGGGCUCUAUCCUACGUUAGAAGUGCGUUUGAUGUUUUAGUGAGUAAGUAAGAUCUUUGUUGUUUUUAGAGAGGGGUUAGAAAACACCAUGGGAAAUAUUUGCACCCUUUCUCUUUCUAUACUUUUAAGAAAACGUCAAAGAGUUUCAGUUUUGUCUUCCACUUUGAAUUCUUUCAGCAGUUUUUCAUCAGAUAAAAACAUGCUUUACCUAAAGGACUUCUGGACCUGAAACAGAAAUUAAGCUAAGUCAUAUUUUAAGACCUAACGUUUCCUUCAAAGCAGCAGCUCCAGAUUCAGCAAAAUUCUUUGUUCUUCUCUUUUCUCCUCCUAGUUCUGCUUUGGUUCAGUGUCUUGGGCGGGACUAGGACGGUUCCAGCACAUCGGGCAAAGAAUAGGCUGCAGGAGGGAAUGACUCUGUCAUUUCAACAUUUGUUAGCAGCAGGAAGGACAGUUCUUGAAAUCCACCACAGACUUUUCCACUAUAGUAGGACAGUGUGAGGUGAAAGCUGCUCAGUUCUUUGGUUAAAUCCAUAUCUUUCCAUCAACAGGUUUCCUGAAGAGAGGACCAGACACUCAGGAAUUCUCCCUCCUGCUUAGCUCCUCCUCAUGUUUCUGAAAGAGAGCGUGAUGCCAUGGGUGGGAAGUGUUCCGCAGAAGGAUCCAGACAGUCUGCAGGAUGGAGCUCAGGAGUUGUUAAACGUUGACCGAUGUGAGACAGGGAGGACUUUUGUUUUUCUAACCAGAUCUCCGUUUGCACAGGUUCUGGCUGCAAAACAGCGGCUUACACGUUGGAUCUUCAUCCUCAGCCUGUCCCACCGUGUGCACAGAGGAGCAGUUCUCUCACACAUGAGAAGAAAGAUCGAUUUGUCUUUGAGGAAAACUGCUGGAAGCAACAAUUGUGUGUUUUUGGCAGUAAUCAAACCUGCAGACCUUCCAUUCCUCACCCUCAGAAGACCAUCAUGAGCUGCCUUGACCUUCACAGAGAAGCAGAACUGCUCCUAAACUCUGUGAUUGUGAAGCUGAGCUGGCAGCUGUGACCAUGAAAGUGGGAUGGAAGAGAUUUCUGCAGGAAUAAAAUCCUGUUCUUUAACUGUACUUUAGAUGCUCUUUGUGUUUGGUUGUAGAGAAGCUGCUGAAAUGAGGAGCUAAGCUCAGCUCCACUGUUAAUUCCCAUAGAAUCAAAGAAAAGUGAAUACUAGACUCCUUCUUCUCUAGAAAAUGCUUAAAUGUUUGUGUUCUUCUAGCUUUCUGACUCCAAAUACAAACUUGAAUGUUUUUCAAAAUUGAAAUGUAAAAAAAGCAAGAAAGUCAAUCUUUCAAACCAAAAUCUGUACACUUCCAAGAUAUUUCAAAGUCAAGAGAAAUCAAAAAUGUAUAAAUAAAACAAAACUAAUUUGAAAUCCAAAUAUAUCAUAAACAAAUUUGUUGGAUCUAUUUUUCCCUAUUUUUUAUAUGCUUAAAAUCAAAAUCUGUGACAAAGCUUCAAAAGACAAGCCAGAGAAAUACCAACAGUUUGGCAGCUCCCAUCAUCCUAAAGAUGAUGACACUUCUCAUUUUCCAAAAUUCCUGAAAAUACUUGUCUCAUUGAUUAUUACUUUCUGUAAUAGGUGUCAUUUUUCUGUUCCUAGUGAAGCAAACACAAAAAGCAAUACUUAAAACAGGAAAUAGGACAGGGGUUGAACUGAUGCAUGAAUCAUAACUCAGUCCGAGGUUUCAGUUCAUUUUUUGUUGCUCUAUUUUAAGAGUGGGAUGAAAAAGAUCAAGUGAGGUAGUUCAAGUGAAGACAGAAUCAAUGCAUAGUAGAUGAGUUCAUGUCAGAGAUUAACAAAAGUGGGGGUGGAAUUUGAAAAUAGUAAAGAAAGUAACUUUCAAUCAGCUUUUUGGAUUACAUGGUAGUGCCAGGGUUGUACUGUAUAAUAUUUAUUAAACCAGAGACUGAUUUGUUAUUUUAUCAAAGGAUGAACAGGGAGAUGUUUGAGUUUUUUUCCAGGGGUCUGUUGAAGCUAGACUAAGCUAGGCUACUCUUUCAGUUUGGAUGAUAUUACACAGAGUAAGCACCACUCACCAUAACCUUUCAAGUCUGUUCCAGCUUUUCCCUGAUUUCUGGUAUUUUUGUUGUUGGUAUACUUUUUUUUCCUUAUCCUGCCUGCAUAAGUCAUUUGCUGGGUUGUUCUUGUUGCAUAGCCUACAAUUUAGAUCUUGACUUGUUUGGUGGAUUUAUUUGUCUGUCUGUCUGUAAAAAAUAAAUGUAUAUAAAAAAUAUAUAUAGCUACAAUAUAUA